GGAUCACACAAAUAAGGAUAUUGGUCUAAGAUUGCACAAUUGAGCUCGAGUAGUCUAAUGGAGUUAGGAUUAAUUAAAUUUUAAUUUUGGAUUUAAGAAAAUCAUACUAGCACAUAAUUAAAUCCAUUUUCUCCUUGAUUUGAGUUCCCUAUUGGAUAGGGCUUGAUCAAAUCAAAGCAAGCUCUUUAGGACAACAAGAGUUGGGACACCC
Molecule: long non-coding RNA, 211 nt
Filed under: Elaeis guineensis (African oil palm)
Lineage: Eukaryota; Viridiplantae; Streptophyta; Magnoliopsida; Arecales; Arecaceae
Description: long non-coding RNA (EGUI_LNC035869)
Source: RNAcentral